Molecule: ribosomal RNA, 315 nt
Filed under: uncultured eukaryote
Lineage: Eukaryota
Description: partial 18S ribosomal RNA
Rfam family: Eukaryotic small subunit ribosomal RNA
Source: RNAcentral
CCCUUAGAUGUUCUGGGCCGCACGCGCGCUACACUGACCAGUGCAACAAGCAUCCGUCCUUGGCCGACAGGCCCGGGCAAUCUUUGAACGCUGGUCGUGAUGGGGAUAGACUUUUGCAAUUUUUGGUCUUCAACGAGGAAUUCCUAGUAAACGCAAGUCAUCAACUUGCAUUGAUUACGUCCCUGCCCUUUGUACACACCGCCCGUCGCACCUACCGAUUGAAUGGUCCGGUGAAGCCUCCGGAUUGGCGCGCACCUCGGUGCCGCCGAGAAGUUGGCUAAACCUUACCAUUUAGAGGAAGGUGAAGUCGUAACA